UGCAGUCGAACGGUAGCACAGAGAGCUUGCUCUCGGGUGACGAGUGGCGGACGGGUGAGUAAUGUCUGGGAAACUGCCUGAUGGAGGGGGAUAACUACUGGAAACGGUAGCUAAUACCGCAUAAUGUCGCAAGACCAAAGAGGGGGACCUUCGGGCCUCUUGCCAUCAGAUGUGCCCAGAUGGGAUUAGCUAGUAGGUGGGGUAACGGCUCACCUAGGCGACGAUCCCUAGCUGGUCUGAGAGGAUGACCAGCCACACUGGAACUGAGACACGGUCCAGACUCCUACGGGAGGCAGCAGUGGGGAAUAUUGCACAAUGGGCGCAAGCCUGAUGCAGCCAUGCCGCGUGUAUGAAGAAGGCCUUCGGGUUGUAAAGUACUUUCAGCGGGGAGGAAGGUGUUGUGGUUAAUAACCGCAGCAAUUGACGUUACCCGCAGAAGAAGCACCGGCUAACUCCGUGCCAGCAGCCGCGGUAAUACGGAGGGUGCAAGCGUUAAUCGGAAUUACUGGGCGUAAAGCGCACGCAGGCGGUCUGUCAAGUCGGAUGUGAAAUCCCCGGGCUCAACCUGGGAACUGCAUUCGAAACUGGCAGGCUGGAGUCUUGUAGAGGGGGGUAGAAUUCCAGUGUAGCGGUGAAAUGCGUAGAGAUCUGGAGGAAUACCGGGUGGCGAAGGCGGCCCCCUGGACAAAGACUGACGCUCAGUGCGAAAGCGUGGGGAGCAACAGGAUUAGAUACCCUGGGUAGUCCACGCCGUAAACGAUGUCGAUUUGGGAGUUGUGCCCCUUGAAGGCGUGGCUUCCGGAGCUAACGCGUUAAAUCGACCGCCUUGGGGGAGUAC
Molecule: ribosomal RNA, 838 nt
Filed under: uncultured Enterobacter sp.
Lineage: Bacteria; Pseudomonadati; Pseudomonadota; Gammaproteobacteria; Enterobacterales; Enterobacteriaceae
Description: bacterial SSU rRNA
Rfam family: Bacterial small subunit ribosomal RNA
Source: RNAcentral